UUUCCGUAGGUGAACCUGCGGAAGGAUCAUUAUUGUAUAACCGAGGUGCGAGGGCCGUCGCUGACCCGAAAGGUCGUGCACGCCCGAGUGCCCUCACACACAUCCAUCUCACCCCUAUGUGCACCACCGCGUGGUUCCCCCUUUGGCUUGUUCGGAGGGGGGCUUACGUUUUCACACAAACUUUGUAUGCAGUGUAGAAUGUAUUUUUUGUUUUUGCGAUCACGCAAUCAAUACAACUUUCAACAACGGAUCUCUUGGCUCUC
RNAcentral lists this unclassified non-coding RNA (263 nucleotides) under plant metagenome. RNAcentral's name for it is "partial contains small subunit ribosomal RNA, internal transcribed spacer 1, and 5.8S ribosomal RNA". The record is from RNAcentral.